Molecule: non-coding RNA, 72 nt
Organism: Phrynosoma platyrhinos (Desert horned lizard)
Lineage: Eukaryota; Metazoa; Chordata; Lepidosauria; Squamata; Phrynosomatidae
Source: the annotation of a GenBank genome assembly
GCCAACGUGGUAUAGUGGUUUAAGUGUUGGACUAUGGCUCUGGAAACCAAGGUUCGAAUCCUGGCUCAGCCC